CGCGUGCGGGGUGCUAUACAUGCAAGUCGAGCGAACUGAUUAGAAGCUUGCUUCUAUGACGUUAGCGGCGGACGGGUGAGUAACACGUGGGCAACCUGCCUGUAAGACUGGGAUAACUCCGGGAAACCGGAGCUAAUACCGGAUAACAUUUUUUCUUGCAUAAGAGAAAAUUGAAAGAUGGUUUCGGCUAUCACUUACAGAUGGGCCCGCGGUGCAUUAGCUAGUUGGUGAGGUAACGGCUCACCAAGGCAACGAUGCAUAGCCGACCUGAGAGGGUGAUCGGCCACACUGGGACUGAGACACGGCCCAGACUCCUACGGGAGGCAGCAGUAGGGAAUCUUCCGCAAUGGACGAAAGUCUGACGGAGCAACGCCGCGUGAGUGAUGAAGGCUUUCGGGUCGUAAAACUCUGUUGUUAGGGAAGAACAAGUACAAGAGUAACUGCUUGUACCUUGACGGUACCUAACCAGAAAGCCACGGCUAACUACGUGCCAGCAGCCGCGGUAAU
Molecule: ribosomal RNA, 507 nt
Filed under: Priestia paraflexa
Lineage: Bacteria; Bacillati; Bacillota; Bacilli; Caryophanales; Bacillaceae
Description: bacterial SSU rRNA
Rfam family: Bacterial small subunit ribosomal RNA
Source: RNAcentral